This 478-nucleotide ribosomal RNA is filed under the name uncultured bacterium. RNAcentral's name for it is "partial 16S ribosomal RNA". It matches the Rfam family "Bacterial small subunit ribosomal RNA", at positions 28 to 523 of the family's 1533-position model. The record is from RNAcentral.
GACGAACGCUGGCGGCGUGCUUAACACAUGCAAGUCGAACGGUAAGGCCCUUCGGGGUACACGAGUGGCGAACGGGUGAGUAACACGUGGGUGAUCUGCCCUGCACUUCGGGAUAAGCCUGGGAAACUGGGUCUAAUACCGGAUAGGACCACUGCCUGCAUGGGUGGUGGUGGAAAGCUUUUGCGGUGUGGGAUGGGCCCGCGGCCUAUCAGCUUGUUGGUGGGGUGAUGGCCUACCAAGGCGACGACGGGGAGCCGGCCUGAGAGGGUGACCGGCCACACUGGGACGCGGAUACGGGCCAGACUCCUACGGGAGGCAGCAGUGGGGAAUAUUGCACAAUGGGCGCAAGCCUGAUGCAGCGACGCCGCGUGAGGGAUGACGGCCUUCGGGUUGUAAACCUCUUUCAGCACCGACGAAGCGCGAGUGACGGUAGGUGCAGAAGAAGGACCGGCCAACUACGUGCCAGCAGCCGCGGUAA